This 584-nucleotide ribosomal RNA is filed under the name uncultured marine eukaryote. RNAcentral describes it as "SSU rRNA". It matches the Rfam family "Eukaryotic small subunit ribosomal RNA", at positions 621 to 1210 of the family's 1831-position model. The record is from RNAcentral.
AAAAAGCUCGUAGCCGACUCUCGGGGCUGUUGGAACGGUCCGCAGAAAUGUGAGCACUGUUUCAGCCGCCUCUUCCUUCUGGAUUUCAUGUCUUCUCUUCACUGAGCGGAUGUGAGGGCCAGAUCGUUCACUUUGAACAAAUUAGAGUGUUCAAAGCAGGCCUCCGCCUGAAUACUUGAGCAUGGAAUGAUAUCAAUAGGUUCUUCCUUCUCGUUUAUUGGUGAUGAGAAGGAAGAAAAUGAGAAAGGGGAAUGGUUGGGGCCAUUCGUACUGCAGCGUUAGAGGUGAAAUUCUUGGAUCGCUGCAAGACGAACAACAGCGAAAGCAUUUGGCAAGAACGUUUCCACCGGUCAAGAACGAAAGUUAAGGGAUCGAAGACGAUCAGAUACCGUCGUAGUCUUAACCAUAAACUAUGCCGACUAGAGAUCGGUGGAUGUUAUUUUAUGACUCCAUCAGCAUCUUAUGAGAAAUCAAAGUCUUUGGGUUCCGGGGGGAGUAUGGUCGCAAGGCUGAAACUUAAAGGAAUUGACGGAAGGGCACCACCAGGCGUGGAGCCUGCGGCCUUAAUUUGACUCAACACGGGG